This 336-nucleotide unclassified non-coding RNA is filed under the name soil metagenome. Its description in RNAcentral is "partial contains 5.8S ribosomal RNA, internal transcribed spacer 2, and large subunit ribosomal RNA". The stretch from base 1 to 120 matches the Rfam family "5.8S ribosomal RNA", at positions 35 to 154 of the family's 154-position model. The record is from RNAcentral.
GUUGAAGAACGCAGCGAAAUGCGAUAAGUAAUGUGAAUUGCAGAAUUCAGUGAAUCAUCGAAUCUUUGAACGCACAUUGCGCCCGCCAGUAUUCUGGCGGGCAUGCCUGUUCGAGCGUCAUUUCAACCAUCAAGCCCCCGGCUUGUGUUGGGGACCUGCGGCUGCCGCAGGCCCUGAAAAGCAGUGGCGGGCUCGCUGUCACACCGAGCGUAGUAGCAUACAUCUCGCUCUGGGCGUGCUGCGGGUUCCGGCCGUUAAACCACCUUCAUAACCCAAGGUUGACCUCGGAUCAGGUAGGAAGACCCGCUGAACUUAAGCAUAUCAAUAAGCGGAGGA